Molecule: small RNA, 132 nt
Filed under: Salmonella enterica
Lineage: Bacteria; Pseudomonadati; Pseudomonadota; Gammaproteobacteria; Enterobacterales; Enterobacteriaceae
Also listed under: 1 other name
Description: RtT sRNA
Rfam family: RtT RNA
About the family: This family represents a bacterial cis-regulatory element known as RtT RNA. The exact function of RtT is unknown although it is thought that it may be involved in changing the cellular response in relation to amino acid starvation.
Source: RNAcentral
UAUCUCUCUGUACGGGGAAAGAUGAGAAGCUUCGACUAAGGUUCGAUUCGAGCGAAAGCGAGAAAGCGUUGCCAACAGCAACGACCCGAAGGGCGAAGCGCGCAGCGCUGAGUCAUCCUUCCCCCACCACCA